RNAcentral lists this unclassified non-coding RNA (229 nucleotides) under uncultured fungus. RNAcentral describes it as "sequence contains ITS1, 5.8S rRNA gene". Lineage: Eukaryota; Fungi. The record is from RNAcentral.
UCUCCGUAGGUGAACCUGCGGAGGGAUCAUUACUGAGUGAGGGCUCACGCCCGACCUCCAACCCUUUGUGAACACAUCUUGUUGCUUCGGGGGCGACCCUGCCGGCACUCUGUCGCCGGGCGCCCCCGAAGGCCUCCACACACUGCAUCUUUGCGUCGUAGUUUAAAACAAAUUAAACAAAACUUUCUACAACGGAUCUCUUGGUUCUGGCAUCUAUGAAGAACACAGC